RNAcentral lists this unclassified non-coding RNA (568 nucleotides) under Hevea brasiliensis (rubber tree). Lineage: Eukaryota; Viridiplantae; Streptophyta; Magnoliopsida; Malpighiales; Euphorbiaceae. The record is from RNAcentral.
AAAUCAACCGGACAUGUCCAUUUCACAAGUUUAAACGGAAAAAGUCUCACUAUCUAGCCUCCUCCAAGUAUACAUUAAAAAAAUAAUAAUAAAGCAUAUCUAACCUCCUCUAGAAUAGGUACAUGUUCAGUAAAUUAUGGGGCAAAAAGAAAACGGACAACCUCUGAAACACCAAACUCUUUUCAACGUUCUAAAACCUUGUUCUGACUAUAAAAUGCUUUCUGGUUAUUAUUUCCUCUCCAAACUAAGAAAAUCUAUCAGCAAAAGGGCCAACACAGAUUCAUCACAUCUCCAAUGCCUCUUUUCUUCCAUUUUCAGCCUCUUUCCUACACAAAAUGGCCCUGAAAAUUGAGAAAAUGGCUACUAGUGCAAUUUCAAUGUGCUCAGAGCUACUCAUCUUUAUGCUAACUUUCCCCAUUUUCUGGCUAUUUAAAUUGGCAUUAACUGCCAUUCUCAUGCCUCGUGCUGGCCGAAACUCAGACUGAAAACCUCCACCCAACACCAUCUCCUUCUUAAAAGAUAGAGCGGUCAUUGAUACACUGAUAAUAUCAUUCCUCACAGGGUAGUC